AAGUCGUAACAAGUUUCCGAUAAGGUGGAACCGUGCGGAAGGAUCCAAUUGAAAGAGAGCAGGGUCUUCAUGGCCCGACCUCCAACCCUCUGUUGUUAUAACUACCUUGUUGCUUUGGCGGGACCGUCUCGGUCUCCGAGCGCACUAACCCUCGGGUUGGUGAGCGCCCGCCAGAGUCCAACCAAACUCUUGUAUUAAACCAGUCGUCUGAGUAUAAAAUUUUAAUUAAAUUAAAA
This 236-nucleotide unclassified non-coding RNA is filed under the name plant metagenome. RNAcentral describes it as "partial contains small subunit ribosomal RNA and internal transcribed spacer 1". The record is from RNAcentral.